GGCAAUGGGGGAAACCCUGACCGAGCAACGCCGCGUGAGCGAAGAAGGCCUUCGGGUCGUAAAGCUCUGUUGUAAAGGAAGAACGUCGCAUGCAGGAAAUGGUGUGCGAGUGACGGUACUUUACCAGAAAGCCACGGCUAACUACGUGCCAGCAGCCGCGGUAAUACGUAGGUGGCGAGCGUUAUCCGGAAUCAUUGGGCGUAAAGAGGGAGCAGGCGGCCGCAAGGGUCUGUGGUGAAAGACCGAAGCUAAACUUCGGUAAGCCAUGGAAACCGGGCGGCUAGAGUGCGGAAGAGGAUCGUGGAAUUCCAUGUGUAGCGGUGAAAUGCGUAGAUAUAUGGAGGAACACCAGUGGCGAAGGCGACGGUCUGGGCCGCAACUGACGCUCAUUCCCGAAAGCGUGGGGAGCAAAUAGGAUUAGAUACCCUAGUAGUCCACGCCGUAAACGAUGGUCACUAGGUGUCGGGGGUCAAACCCCGGUGCUGCAGUCAACGCAAUAAGUGACCCGCCUGAGUAGUACGUUCGCAAGAAUGCAACUCAAAUGAAUUGACGGA
This 554-nucleotide ribosomal RNA is filed under the name uncultured organism. Its description in RNAcentral is "bacterial SSU rRNA". It matches the Rfam family "Bacterial small subunit ribosomal RNA", at positions 367 to 917 of the family's 1533-position model. The record is from RNAcentral.